Molecule: small nuclear RNA, 104 nt
Organism: Gorilla gorilla gorilla (western lowland gorilla)
Lineage: Eukaryota; Metazoa; Chordata; Mammalia; Primates; Hominidae
Source: Ensembl
AUGCUUGCUUCAGCAACACAUAUACUAAAAUUGGAAGGAUACAGAGAUUAGCAUGGCCCCAGCGCAAGAAUGACACCCAAAUUCGUGAAGCCUUUCAUAGUUAA